Neolamprologus brichardi is the source of this 567-nucleotide long non-coding RNA. RefSeq lists it as uncharacterized. NCBI's taxonomy places the organism in Eukaryota, Metazoa, Chordata, Actinopteri, Cichliformes, Cichlidae. The record is from RefSeq and is a predicted model, not a curated record.
UGAAGGGGGUUGGGCAAUAAAUCAAUGUCUUUUAUGUAGCAGUGGUGCUAAUAAAAUGAGGAUUCCUCCACGAAGCUCAACAAGAAUCCACCGUGGCUCCCGAAGUGGAUGAGCUGCUCGUUGAAGAACCAGGUGAACUUGAGUUCCAGAGACGGGUCGUGGCUCACUUGGCAGGGCAGGACCACGCUCUCCCCGACGGUGACGUCCAGCGUGGAGGCCAGCGUGGUGAUGACGCAGGACUGGUGUGUCCUAUCGUCAUCUCCUCUCCUUGUGUCGUGUGGUUGUGAGCUGCCUGGUGUCUUACUGCCUCCGGGGGUUUCACAGUGACAAUGAUGGGGGGGUAUGCUGCCUUAUUACCCUCCUCUGUCAUGAUUUGUGACAGAUUAUACGGGCAACCAAGGUUGGUUACACAACCACACACUGGACUCUUGAGCAUAAUUUGAUUGAUUUCUAUCUUGUAUAAUGCCUUGUUACCUACUGCCACUGUAAACGGGGAGGACAGUAACGCUCACUUAGCAGGGUCAGUCCGAGACAAGACAGAGAGCGUGCCCGUGUGCUGAGACAGGC